GACGAACGCUGGCGGCGUGCUUAACACAUGCAAGUCGAGCGGUAAGGCCCUUUCGGGGGUACACGAGCGGCGAACGGGUGAGUAACACGUGGGUGACCUGCCCUCAGCUCUGGGAUAAGCCUGGGAAACUGGGUCUAAUACUGGAUAUGACUCCACGGUGCAUGUCGUGGGGUGGAAAGCCUUGUGCGGCUGAGGGUGGGCCCGCGGCCUAUCAGCUUGUUGGUGGGGUGAGGCCUACCAAGGCGACGACGGGUAGCCGGCCUGAGAGGGCGACCGGCCACACUGGGACUGAGAUACGGCCCAGACUCCUACGGGAGGCAGCAGUGGGGAAUCUUGCGCAAUGGGCGAAAGCCUGACGCAGCGACGCCGCGUGA
This 374-nucleotide ribosomal RNA is filed under the name uncultured bacterium. Its description in RNAcentral is "bacterial SSU rRNA". It matches the Rfam family "Bacterial small subunit ribosomal RNA", at positions 28 to 404 of the family's 1533-position model. The record is from RNAcentral.